RNAcentral lists this ribosomal RNA (200 nucleotides) under uncultured bacterium. Its description in RNAcentral is "partial 16S ribosomal RNA". It matches the Rfam family "Bacterial small subunit ribosomal RNA", at positions 8 to 206 of the family's 1533-position model. The record is from RNAcentral.
AGAGUUUGAUCCUGGCUCAGGACGAACGCUGGCGGCGUGCUUAACACAUGCAAGUCGAACGGAAAGGCCCUGCUUGCAGGGUGCUCGAGUGGCGAACGGGUGAGUAACACGUGGGUGAUCUGCCCCUGACUUUGGGAUAAGCCUGGGAAACUGGGUCUAAUACCGGAUAUGACCAAGGAUUGCAUGGUUCUUGGUGGAAA